RNAcentral lists this ribosomal RNA (837 nucleotides) under uncultured archaeon. Its description in RNAcentral is "bacterial SSU rRNA". It matches the Rfam family "Archaeal small subunit ribosomal RNA", at positions 21 to 859 of the family's 1478-position model. The record is from RNAcentral.
GGUUACUGCUAUCGGUGUUCGCCUAAGCCAUGCGAGUCAUAUGUUCGUAAGAACAUGGCGUACUGCUCAGUAACACGUGGAUAACCUGCCCUUGGGUCCGGCAUAACCCCGGGAAACUGGGGAUAAUUCCGGAUAACGCACAUAUGCUGGAAUGCUUUAUGCGUAAAAUGGAUUCGUCUGCCCAAGGAUGGGUCUGCGGCCUAUCAGGUAGUAGUGGGUGUAAUGUACCUACUAGCCUACGACGGGUACGGGUUGUGAGAGCAAGAGCCCGGAGAUGGAUUCUGAGACAUGAAUCCAGGCCCUACGGGGCGCAGCAGGCGCGAAAACUUUACAAUGCGGGAAACCGUGAUAAGGGGACACCGAGUGCCAGCAUCCUAUGCUGGCUGUCCGGGUGUGUAAAAUACACCUGUUAGCAAGGGCCGGGCAAGACCGGUGCCAGCCGCCGCGGUAACACCGGCGGCCCGAGUGGUGAUCGUGAUUAUUGGGUCUAAAGGGUCCGUAGCCGGUUUGGUCAGUCCUCCGGGAAAUCUGACAGCUUAACUGUUAGGCUUUCGGAGGAUACUGCCAGACUUGGAACCGGGAGAGGUAAGAGGUACUACAGGGGUAGGAGUGAAAUCUUGUAAUCCCUGUGGGACCACCUGUGGCGAAGGCGUCUUACCAGAACGGGUUCGACGGUGAGGGACGAAAGCUGGGGGCACGAACCGGAUUAGAUACCCGGGUAGUCCCAGCCGUAAACGAUGCUCGCUAGGUGUCAGGCGUGGCGCGACCGUGUCUGGUGCCGCAGGGAAGCCGUGAAGCGAGCCACCUGGGAAGUACGCGCGCAAGGCUGAAACUUAA